GAUUAACGCUGGCGGCGUGCCUAAUACAUGCAAGUCGAGCGGACGGACGAGAAUCUUGCUUCUCUUAUGUUAGCGGCGGACGGGUGAGUCACACGUGGCUAACCUACCUUUUAGACUGGGAUAACUUCGGGAACCCGGACCUAAUACCGUAUAAUAUUUUGAACCGCAUGGUUCAAUAGUGAAAUACGGUCUUGCUUUCCCUUUUUGAUUGAUCCCCGCUGUAUUAUCUAGUUGGUAAUGUAACGCCUUACCAAUGCAACGAUGCAUAGCCGACCUGCGAGGGAGAUAGGCCACACUGGAAUGGAGACACGGUCCAGACUCCUACGGCAGGCAGCAGUAGGGAAUUGUCCGCAACAGGAGGAAGAAUGCAGGCGCAACGCCGCGUGAGCGAGGAAGGUCUUAGGAUCGUAAAACUCUUUGAUUAGGAAAGAACAUAUGUGUAAGUAAAUGAGAACAUCUUGACGGUACUGAAUAAGAAAGCCACGGCUAACUACGUG
RNAcentral lists this ribosomal RNA (497 nucleotides) under uncultured bacterium. RNAcentral describes it as "partial 16S ribosomal RNA". It matches the Rfam family "Bacterial small subunit ribosomal RNA", at positions 28 to 507 of the family's 1533-position model. The record is from RNAcentral.